This 496-nucleotide ribosomal RNA is filed under the name uncultured bacterium. RNAcentral describes it as "partial 16S ribosomal RNA". It matches the Rfam family "Bacterial small subunit ribosomal RNA", at positions 28 to 506 of the family's 1533-position model. The record is from RNAcentral.
GAUGAACGCUGGCGGCGUGCCUAAUACAUGCAAGUCGAGCGAACGGACGAGAAGCUUGCUUCUCUGAUGUUAGCGGCGGACGGGUGAGUAACACGUGGAUAACCUACCUAUAAGACUGGGAUAACUUCGGGAAACCGGAGCUAAUACCGGAUGAUAUUUUGAACCGCAUGGUUCAAAAGUGAAAGACGGUCUUGCUGUCACUUAUAGAUGGAUCCGCGCUGCAUUAGCUAGUUGGUAAGGUAACGGCUCACCAAGGCAACGAUGCAUAGCCGACCUGAGAGGGUGAUCGGCCACACUGGAACUGAGACACGGUCCAGACUCCUACGGGAGGCAGCAGUAGGGAAUCUUCCGCAAUGGGCGAAAGCCUGACGGAGCAACGCCGCGUGAGUGAUGAAGGUCUUCGGAUCGUAAAACUCUGUUAUUAGGGAAGAACAUAUGUGUAAGUAACUGUGCACAUCUUGACGGUACCUAAUCAGAAAGCCACGGCUAACUACGU